GAACGCUGGCGGCGUGCCUAAUACAUGCAAGUCGAACGAGAGCGACUGGUGCUUGCACUGGUCAAUCUAGUGGCGAACGGGUGAGUAACACGUGGGUAACCUGCCCAUCAGAGGGGGAUAACAUUCGGAAACGGAUGCUAAAACCGCAUAGGUCUUCGAACCGCAUGGUUUGAAGAGGAAAAGAGGCGCAAGCUUCUGCUGAUGGAUGGACCCGCGGUGCAUUAGCUAGUUGGUGAGGUAACGGCUCACCAAGGCCGUGAUGCAUAGCCGACCUGAGAGGGUGAUCGGCCACAUUGGGACUGAGACACGGCCCAAACUCCUACGGGAGGCAGCAGUAGGGAAUCUUCCGCAAUGGACGCAAGUCUGACGGAGCAACGCCGCGUGAGUGAAGAAGGUUUUCGGAUCGUAAAACUCUGUUGUUAGAGAAGAACAAGUGCUAGAGUAACUGUUAGCGCCUUGACGGUAUCUAACCAGAAAGCCACGGCUAACUACGUGCCAGCAGCCGCGGUAAUACGUAGGUGGCAAGCGUUGUCCGGAUUUAUUGGGCGUAAAGCGAGCGCAGGCGGUUCCUUAAGUCUGAUGUGAAAGCCCCCGGCUCAACCGGGGAGGGUCAUUGGAAACUGGGGAACUUGAGUGCAGAAGAGGAGAGUGGAAUUCCAUGUGUAGCGGUGAAAUGCGUAGAUAUAUGGAGGAACACCAGUGGCGAAGGCGACUCUCUGGUCUGUAACUGACGCUGAGGCUCGAAAGCGUGGGUAGCAAACAGGAUUAGAUACCCUGGUAGUCCACGCCGUAAACGAUGAGUGCUAAGUGUUGGAGGGUUUCCGCCCUUCAGUGCUGCAGUUAACGCAUUAAGCACU
This 857-nucleotide ribosomal RNA is filed under the name uncultured Granulicatella sp. RNAcentral's name for it is "bacterial SSU rRNA". It matches the Rfam family "Bacterial small subunit ribosomal RNA", at positions 31 to 868 of the family's 1533-position model. Lineage: Bacteria; Bacillati; Bacillota; Bacilli; Lactobacillales; Carnobacteriaceae. The record is from RNAcentral.